RNAcentral lists this long non-coding RNA (6195 nucleotides) under Sus scrofa (pig). RNAcentral describes it as "lncRNA (ENSSSCG00015037396.1)". Lineage: Eukaryota; Metazoa; Chordata; Mammalia; Artiodactyla; Suidae. The record is from RNAcentral.
CUGGGAUAUUUGACUCCUAACACAGGAUCCUUUCUACUCUACUGAGCUACACAUUUAUUCUGAUGGGCAAAGACACUUUAGCGAUGUUUGAUAUGGGCAAUGAUUCAACUCAUCACAUGACUCUGCUUUCGCCUUUAGGUAGAUUGAUAUACCUCAAAGUAAUUCGCAUCUACAAUUGUUAAACUGAGAUCUGAGUGAUGUUGGGACCAGGCUUUGUGAGUUGCCCUUCACUGGCAAGCUUCGCUUUAACACAGCAAAGUCUAUCCUGCCUGUACCUGAAUUGCCCUCUUGAAACAAGUAACCAGUGUCAUCUUUCUCUUGAACGGGCUGGCACUGCUGUGAUAUCAGUGAUCACGUGAUAUUCCAAAAGGCAACUGUGAUCUCUAGCUUCAAGGUGUUAGCAAUCCAUUUGGAGAAAAUGAAGUUUGUUGUUAAGCUCCUGGCAGUUUCUAGCAGAGCUAGAUUGAACAAUAGGGUCCUUAAAUCACCUGGAAUAUCCCUGAGUACUGCAUAAAUGUUACUCAAUAUUUAAACUGGAUAAGACGUCACAGAACCUCAGGUUUCACAAAAGCAGAGCUUCAAUUGUCAAAGGUAUUGGGAUCUUGGGAAUUAUUUAGAUAGGUUACCUUAUUUUGGAAAGGAAGAAUUUACCCACCAUUUCUGUGGGCAGGGGAAGUGGGGAAUGGGAGCUAGAGUUUCAUUAGUUAAUUUGCUUUAAGGAACUACAGAAGUAAACAGAUGCUUGGCAAGCACCAACCACAUAAGAGGCAACAUGCAUUUUCUAAAUGCAUGUGGAUGUUCCUCUGUAUAACUUCAGACUAUCCCAGCAUCAUUUCAUAAGCAAGUAUCCCAGCCCUCAGAAAUGUUGGGAGCCAAUAGGGAGGCAAUAAUAUGUAGCAGACUUUCCUUCCCUUUCUUGGCUCCACAUCCUAGUCCAGUGCCAUUAUCCACCAGCUUCUCUGGCCCACUUUUCACAUGGUCAUCACUGACUAUGGCAUAUAUAUCUAUAUCUACUCUAUCUAUCUAUCUAUCUAUCUAUCUAUCUUCUAUCUAUUGAUAUCUAUAUCUAUAUCCAGAACGUAGUUCUUUUCCCAGCCCCAGACAAGGUGGGGAAUAGCCUGACUCUCUCUCCUUCUACCUUCAAAUUGCAAGAUAUUGUUUUUGUAUGUCUCAUCUCUUUCAAGGCUGCCUCAGCAUUCAGCAUAACCUGAGCUGACUUGGGUAAGAGCAUGAGUUAGGAGAAGGCCCUCAGAGAAUUAUAAUCCUGAGUCCAGACCUUCCAGAGAGGAGCCAGGCUGCAGAGCUUCCUAAGGCAAAAAUCGUCUGAUAUAAUUUAAGAAGUAGAACUCUCACCAGCUUGGGGAGAAAGCAAAAAAUGCCAGUAAGCUGCUUCUCACUGAGCACAUAAAACAGUGGCACCCAAAAGCUUGUUUUCUGUUUAAUAAAUUAAAGAAAUCCAUCACGAAUGGAACCCAGGGCUGAGUGACCACAUCAUAGUUGACUCAGUGGGUGUGAUGAAUAAAUUGCCUGUUUUAUGAUUGAGACAUUCCCCAAAGUAACAUUAAAGUAAUGAAAAUUGUGAGGGAUUGUUCUUUCUAGAGAAAGAGGAUGCUACUGACCUACCAACAGCAGCCAAAAAUGUUUUCAACAGUGAGAAAGGAUUUACAAUGUUACAAAUGAGAACUAAUUGAAAGUGCUGACCCAUAGCUGUGAAGCAGAGCCCAUCCCACAGACGUUUGAGCUGCAUUAGUGGGCAUUCCCAACCAUCAUCCCUGCCACAGCAACUUCCAUUCUUUUACACUCAAAAAGGAGUAUGCAGGUUUGAUGAAACCUACAGAUGAUUAGUGCUUGACGCCUCCCCCCAUACACACAAAAGCAGCUGGCCUUCAAUAAACUUACAACUGUGUAAGCAAUAAAAUCAUAUAUUGAAAUAAUACAUACACGUGCAAUAUUGUAUUAAAACACACAGAAAGGGAAAUGACUAAUUCUUAAUUAAAUAUUUUCCAAAGAAAUCUCCAUAUUUCUAGAUUGCCAUUCUCUAGAUAAUAAGUUAAACAAAUAUGUAUUGUAACCCACACAGAGGUGAAAGGUAUUUUACUGGUAGCAUUUUAAUAUAGGAGGGCAGUGAACUUUUGUUUGGGGCUCUGAGGCAGUAGUUUGUAUCAGACUCAUCCUUUGAUGGAAGAACUAUAAAAACCAUUUUUUUUUUAAAGUAAAUUCUGUCUGAAUAUUACAGAAAAACAAAACAAAACAAAACCAUGCAGUCAAGAGUUGAGGAUUCUGGAUCCCAAAUCCUUGAGAAAUUUGCCAGGAUCCAGAGAAAGGGUGAUGCUUGGAUGUGAGCCCCACAAGCCCUUGGGGAAGAGUCUGACUUGGGGCACAGGGCAUGGAAACAAAACAGAAAACAGGAGCAUGGACUUUGCAGUGCUCUCACUACACUGCAGAGAUAAAAAUCAAACUUUUCAUUGAGGAAGCAAGAAAGUAUUUGGAAAUGAGUGACAUGUGUGCAGUGCAGAAAGAGUAGUGCUUAAGGGGGAAAUUUUAAAGCUUUAAAUGAAUUUACUAGAAGAGGGAGGGGAAAAAAAAAACCUAAAAAUCAGUGAUCUAAUAAGCAUCCAACUCAAAAAAUCUAGAAGAACAAAUUAAGCAUAUUAAAUAAAAAGGAUGAGAAGGAAAUAGCAAUUUUAAAAAAAGAGGUCAGUACUUAGUGAAAUAAAAACAAAUCCUCAACUGGAACAAUUUAAGGGCCAAAUGUUGGUUCUUUGAAAAUAUUAAUAUAAUUUCUAAAUCUCCAGAAAUACAGAUCUAAAAAAGUAAAGAGAAGGGAGAUGUUAGAAACAAAUUAUUAAUAUCAAGAAUAAAAAUAGGAAUUUUUAACCCACUGUGGCACAGCAGGAACUCCCAAAACUGAUUUAAAUAAAGAAGUAGAAAGUUCAAAUAAUGCUAUUACCUAUGAAAAGACUGAUUUUUAAACCUUCCCACAAAGAAAACUCUGGACACAGAUGCUUAAAAGAGAAUCAUUCUAAAUACUUUGUGAAGCAAAAAUUUCAAUCUUGCACAAACUUUUUAGAGUCUAGACAUAGGGAGAAUACUUCCCAAUUCAUGUUACGAGACCAUCACAAUCUUGACAAUGACACCAGAUAAAGACAUUAUAAAGAAAAAUUAUAAAUCAAUCUUUCCUGUGUACAGAGGUACAAACAUACUAAAUAAAAGAGUAGCACGGUGAACCCAACAUUAUGGAAAAGCAUCAUAUAUCCCCAUGAAAUUGGGUUUAAACCAAGAAUGUAAGGUCAAUUUAUUGCUCUGAAAUCAAUUACUGUAAUUCAUUACACCCAUCCAUUACACUUAAGAACAAAAGCAUGUAACCGUUUCAAUAAAUGCAAAAGAACAAGUAAAUAAAAACAUUAUGACCAUUCAUGACUGAAAUAAAACAAGGCAACAACAAAUUCCUCAUAGAAAAAUAGACAGAGGGAAUUUUUUUGUAUGAAAAGGAGUUUCUUCAAAGAAAAUGUAUAGCAAAAUCAUACGUGAAAUACUAGAAAAUUUCUUCCUGAGAUAAGAAUAUCUCAGGAGAUAAGGAUAGCCCCAUUGCCAUUUAACGGUGUCCUGGAAGUCCUUCCAAUGCCAUAAAGCAAGAAUAAGAAAUAAAAUAUACAUAGAUUGAAGAGGAGAUAUGAAAGUGUACAUAGAAAAUCCAAAAGAUAAACUAUUAGAAUCAGUAAGUGAAUUUAUCCAAGUCAGUGGAUAUAAAGUAAAUAUGCAAAAUAAACCAUACACAUAAAAUACCCAUAAAUAAUGAGAAAAUAAGAUUAACAUAAAUUUUAAGUAUCUAGUAUUAUACUAAUAGUUAUGUGCAAGAAGGAAACAUUUUGAAAAGAAAUUAAAGACGACCUAAAUCAAUAUAGCAUAUAUCGUGUCCAUGAAUCAGAUGACAAAAGCGUAGGAAAGCCAUUUGGCUCCAUAUUGAUUUAUAAAUUCUAUGCACUCCUAAUCAAAAUCUCAAGAGGUAUUUUUGUGAAGUUUGAAAAGUUGAUUUAAAUCAAUGUGGAAAUGUUAAAGACCAAGAGUAGCCAUGACACAGUCCUGGAAGAAGAAAGACAAAGUUGAUGGCCUUAUUACUGGUUAAAGGAUAGAUGAUAAAUAUAUUGAACAAAAUAUUCCAGAAACAUACGCGUAUAUCUACAAAUACUUCACUGACGACAAAGUGUCAUCACAAGUAGUGAAAAUGAUCAUUGCUUUUGCAUUUCUUCCCAAUAAAUGGUGCUGUGUGAAUUCGAUGUCCACACAGGGAAAGAAAAAAUGAGUCUUGAAUCUCACCUCACUAUCUUAUAUCAUACACAAAAAAUUAAUUCCAGAUGCAACAGAUUUCAAUAUAAAAAGUAAAUAAUAUAUUUUCUGGAAAAUAAUAUAAGAAGAUAUAGUCACGAGCUUAGGAUGGGCAAAGAUCUUUUAAAUAGGCUAUGAAAACACUAUUCAUAAGAAAAUGAUAGAUAAGCUAGACUUCAUUAAUUUCAGAACAGCUGGACCAUUGAUGCUCUCCCCUUUCAUGUUCUAAAAGAAUCUGGACUAUCCAACUUUUUAAAUUCAUAAUUAUUUAAAUUUUUCAAAAACCAACAUAUAGGUGAAUUAACUAUGUCUAAUUAACAGAAACUUUGUGCCCCCGCCAAAAAAAUCAAAACCUUGACCAUUUCAAGAACAUGGAAUUGCUCAAUAGAAAUGCAAGAGACAGUUAUUUGAUUAUAAUUCAGCAAAUCCUAUUUCAAGUAAUAUAGUAGGGAGCUAAGUCUAUUCUAUAGAAAGCAAUUUAAGACUCAAAAGUGCUUUAAAAGGGAAAAGUUAAUCAAAAUGUCUAUGAACAUCUGGCUUCACUCUUUUUUUAGUUAGGCUUGUCUGAAGCACAGUUCCGACAGAACUAACCCAUCCAGGCGCAGCCUAAAAAUGGAGCCAACUAAACACUGAAAGACUAUCAGAGAAAAGGCAAGUGACUGUAUGAAAUGUGUACUGAGAUUCUGUCUCAGAGAACAAAGCCCAGAGGAAUGUCUUCAAUAUUUAUCAUAGAAGGUAGACUUUAGAGCUCCAUCUUAAAUCAUUACCUAUAGUUAAUAGAUCCUUUUAUUAAACUGUGUGUGUGUUGAGGGAAGCACGAUCUAAUUCCAAGAAUAGGAAGAGAAUAAGAACAACACUCUGUCCUCUGAAAGCCAUGAGUAAUUCACAUUCAUAUGUAUAAAUAAAACAGUCCUCCACUACAAGACUAUGCAAUUUUUCAAAAAAGGGAAAAAAUGGGGGGGGGUGGCUUCAUGCAUUAUAAAGCAAAAAGAUAGAGCUGCAAGAUAAUAGGUUCGACAGGCAGUAUUGGCUACGUAAUUUGUACACCUGAUGCCAAAUGAAAAUGGAAGGCCCCUUGUUCAAAAAUGAUUUAGCGUUUCGACAGUUGGCGAUAGCAGAGCAUUAAUCCAAGGGCAGGGCUCUUCUGGGCACUGGGCCCUUGGUGGCUACCCCAUGAGGCUGACCCUGUUUGCAGGCAAGCAUUACACUCAAAAACCAGGCUUUCCUUCCACACUUGCCUACAGGGAGGACUGCACCAUCAGCAGCACUGUCUGUGACUCCAGAGAACCACCAUGUGGACGUCUGGAUUCCGUAUGCUUUUCGCUGUGAGGUUAGACAGAAAGAGGAUCCUUGCACUGAAUCUUACUGUGCUUUUGCUUCUGAAAAUGAUAGCUUGCUGAUUCAAGGCUGUGAUUUUCAGAACGCAUUCCCAUUUCUAUUUCCAGUCUCGUGUUCCUUAGACUGCCCCAAAAGAAAGCUUUGUGUGUGUGAUGAUUUUUUUUUUUUUCAAACCCAGCCCAGUAAGCUUUCAAACCCAGUCAAUCAGAAAUGAUACGUGUGCAUAUAAUAUCUAUCUCGCUUGAAUUCCAUCAGUUGAUACAGAGUGUGGGACUGACUAUUUAGAAUAUUUAAUACUGAGAACAAAAGAAUGCCAUUCCUGGAGUUCCCGUCGUGGCUCAGCAGUUAAUGAACCCGACUGGCAUCCAUGAGGACGCAGGUUCAAUCUCUGGCCUCCCUCAGUGGCUUAAGGAUCCUUUGUUGCCGUGGCUGCGGCAUAGGCCGGCAGCUGUAGCUCCAAUUAGACCCCUAGCCUGGGCACAUCCAUAUGCCACAGGCACAGCUCUAAAAAGCAAAAAAAAAAAAAAAAAA